UAGCUNUUAUUCGCUGAUGGUACUGCGAGUUCGCGGGAGAGUAAGUUAUUGCCAGGGUUUUUUAUAUUUUAAAUCUUAUUUUGUUCUUAAAAUUUUCAUAUUUUAGAAUAUUUUAUCCAAAUAAAAUAAAAAGUAAAUGGGUAUUGACAUAGAGUAAACAAAGAUAUAUAUUAUUCUAUGUUGCAUAAACAAAUUGGCAAAAUAGAGAUGGAANAUAAAAAUAUGGUCAAAGUAAUAAGAGUCUAUGGUGAAUGCCUAGGAGCUUUAAGGC
This 271-nucleotide unclassified non-coding RNA is filed under the name uncultured Borrelia sp. RNAcentral's name for it is "partial 5S-23S ribosomal RNA intergenic spacer". The record is from RNAcentral. Lineage: Bacteria; Pseudomonadati; Spirochaetota; Spirochaetia; Spirochaetales; Borreliaceae.